This 433-nucleotide ribosomal RNA is filed under the name uncultured Enterococcus sp. RNAcentral's name for it is "bacterial SSU rRNA". It matches the Rfam family "Bacterial small subunit ribosomal RNA", at positions 958 to 1392 of the family's 1533-position model. Lineage: Bacteria; Bacillati; Bacillota; Bacilli; Lactobacillales; Enterococcaceae. The record is from RNAcentral.
AACGCGAAGAACCUUACCUGGUCUUGACAUCCACGGAAGUUUUCAGAGAUGAGAAUGUGCCUUCGGGAACCGUGAGACAGGUGCUGCAUGGCUGUCGUCAGCUCGUGUUGUGAAAUGUUGGGUUAAGUCCCGCAACGAGCGCAACCCUUAUUGUUAGUUGCCAUCAUUUAGUUGGGCACUCUAGCGAGACUGCCGGUGACAAACCGGAGGAAGGUGGGGAUGACGUCAAAUCAUCAUGCCCCUUAUGACCUGGGCUACACACGUGCUACAAUGGGAAGUACAACGAGUUGCGAAGUCGCGAGGCUAAGCUAAUCUCUUAAAGCUUCUCUCAGUUCGGAUUGUAGGCUGCAACUCGCCUACAUGAAGCCGGAAUCGCUAGUAAUCGCGGAUCAGCACGCCGCGGUGAAUACGUUCCCGGGUCUUGUACACACCG